CUCAGUAGGCAAGGCUUAACGUUCAGCGCCGGAAGAACUUUCACCUUUUACCUUUCACCUUUCCCCAAAAACCCAAAGAAAAGCAACCUUUUUUUCAGCUGCGUUCAAUUUUUUUAUUUGGUUAUGUUCUGAUCCUAAAACGUAGUUUAAUAGAUUUCUCGGCGCGCCAGGCCAGCAACAUUGUGGUCCAAAAAAACAGCCGUCUGCAUUAAUCAGACCCCAGAUAUUUGACCAAAUUAUAGGCUCGUUCAAAGUUCGAGGACUCAGACCCGCAGAUUGAUGGCUGAAGACGCAGUUUUAAGUCGGAGCUAAGCUCAUAAUUCAGCUCUUUAAGAAGUUGUUACUUGAAGCAUUUAUUCUUACACCGCAGGCGCGAUGCAAACGCCCUGAUAGCCAACAGAAAAAACGAAGAAUGGCGAACAAGAAAACCCCAAAAAUAAGAAAUAAAAGGACGCUUUUCGGAAUAUAGAAUCUGAGUAAGGGUAUCAAACAGAACAAGGCAAUCAAAACAGCACAACUUUGCAAGCGUCGUUCAGCGUUACCGAUUUAUUUGAAUUUCAAUAAGCCCCAACGUUUUUGGAGUUCAUUAUCCUGUUAUGUCGGCAUUUUUGGUCUUUCAUCUCGCGCAUGCAACGAAUUUGAACUGGGGCGUUAUUAAUUAGCGUUAUGAAUUAUUGAUUCACAACCCUCGGGAGGAAAUCGCCCACACCGCAGCUAUCCGACAAGAUAUGCUUCAGCUGAUAUCUUUAUUUUUCGGAGAGGAUGCAUAAAUCGAAACCAAACCCGCAACGUUCAUCAUCUGGGGAGCCGAAAGGGGAGAAAUAUGUUCCAAUUAGCGAAGCCAAAUGUGACAGGCCAUCCACCCAGAAGAAGAAAUCAAGGCAGCGACUUGGUUUCACAGGACUCGCGGCUCUGACAGGCAAAAGUUAUUUGAGUUGUCAUAUUAGGCUGUGAUAAAUGUAGUUACAUACCAAAUGUGAUAACUCUGCCCUGGCUUUGGAUUCCCCGGACUCUGGAUUAGGUAGGCGCCUAGUUUCCCUUUCCCUUUCCCUUUCCCUUGAUGAUGAUCCGCAAACUGUCUGAGGCUGAGUUUGUGCGCCUACAGCCUGAUCAUUGAAAACGCAUUUAUGGUACCAGGGAAAUUCCUUGAGCCUUUUUGCGCUAGUUUAGAGAGCCGUGGCCCUGACUUCUUCCUCGCUGACCUGUUAUACCGGGGCACCUAAAAUUUCACCUGCCGGGUGAAAAGGGGAUUACCUGAUCGUAAAAGAGGUACAAUAAGUGCGCGCGUGCCUGGACAAUUGGUAAAUCGAGUACGAGUCCAAUUACUUAUCACCCCACCCCAUUUUUGUACCUUUUCCCGACUUUGGUUUAGAUUUUGCAGGCUUAUUUGAAAAAUUCCAGGAUCAAUAUAAUAAUUUUUACAACACUUCACCGCCUUUCUCCUUUUUCUUAAGGGGAUCCAGCAAUGCCGAAAUAUUUUAUUUUUAGUUUAUUUGCUUUUGUUGCUGAUGUUAGUUGUUUUCACUUGACUACUUUCUGUUUGUCAUAGUCCCAUAAUAAGUAUAACCACCUUCUAAGCAAUUCCUCCCUUCCAUACCAUUCUACAAGUAUUUUAUUAUUUAUGCUGCGACCCCCAGCGUCGUCUUGUGAAUCCCAAUUAAGUCCUUAAAUCGUCGAUAAUCCCAGAAAUAGUCUGGAAAUAAUCCCAUUAGAGCGUGCUGCAUAAACACUAACAAAUGUUCCACUGGGCGGUUCUUUCUCUCGCAUAAGACAAGUAGUUCCCAAAACCUAAUUGCCAACACCACUUGAAAGGAUUAGAGCACAAAUUCACACCUAACCAUGACAACGCUGACACUCCAACAUGUGGCCAACUAUGUGGAACUCUCCCUUCAACGCCACUCGAAAAAAACAAUUUGCACUCAGAUCUCGUAGUGAAAUUCCGCAACACGUAGCGCGAAUCGUCUGAGACUUUUUAUGGAUUAUAUGAAAUUUGCCAUUAACAAAUUUCAAACAAUUAGCAUGAUACACAGAAAAAAUACAAUAUUUUUUGCGCUUUUCAAAUAUCAACAAGAAUAUUAGCAGUUACAUAGCUAUUGAGAGUGCAAGGUAGAAAUAUCAAAAUUGAUUAACAAAUCUUGUAUAACAAAAAAAUACGAAUCUACUAUACCCUGUGCUCUACGCGUAACGGGUAUAAAAAUUCCAUUUCUCUUAACUCAGCUUCAUUGAGCUGUUUUAUUUGCAUAAAAUGCAAAAGGGUACAAAACAAAGGUGGAGUGGAUUCUGCAAUGGAGGUUUUCAGUUGCCCAAAAA
Molecule: long non-coding RNA, 2310 nt
Organism: Drosophila yakuba
Lineage: Eukaryota; Metazoa; Arthropoda; Insecta; Diptera; Drosophilidae
Exons: 3
Source: RefSeq, a predicted model, not a curated record